GAGACAGCAGCAGCCGCGGGAAUACGAAGGGUGCAAGCGUUACUCGGAAUUACUGGGCGUAAAGCGUGCGUAGGUGGUGGUUUAAGUCCGUUGUGAAAGCCCUGGGCUCAACCUGGGAAUUGCAGUGGAUACUGGGUCACUAGAGUGUGGUAGAGGAUAGUGGAAUUUCCGGUGUAGCAGUGAAAUGCGUAGAGAUCGGAAGGAACAUCUGUGGCGAAGGCGACUAUCUGGGCCAACACUGACACUGAGGCACGAAAGCGUGGGGAGCAAACAGGAUUAGAUACCCCUGUAGUCCCUGUCUCUUAUAC
RNAcentral lists this ribosomal RNA (308 nucleotides) under uncultured bacterium. RNAcentral describes it as "partial 16S ribosomal RNA". It matches the Rfam family "Bacterial small subunit ribosomal RNA", at positions 505 to 807 of the family's 1533-position model. The record is from RNAcentral.